Molecule: long non-coding RNA, 367 nt
Organism: Lemur catta (Ring-tailed lemur)
Lineage: Eukaryota; Metazoa; Chordata; Mammalia; Primates; Lemuridae
Exons: 2
Source: RefSeq, a predicted model, not a curated record
GCCCUGUCCCAGAGAUAUUUCCUUCAAGCCAACGACCAGAAAGACCUGAAGGACUGGGUCGAAGCCCUGAACCAAGCCAGCAAGAUCACGCCUAGACAUACAGAAGUACAGAAGAAGAAAGGGGAAAGGCUAAGAAGGAAGGAGAAGGAAAACUGUAUGUUUUAGAAUAAAGUCGACCUUUCAUCAGUGAGACAGGCGGACUCUUGGCUUAUGGGCCAUGGUUUGGACGCCGAAAAGUUUGAGUUUCUGUGUUACACAGCCAGAAACACUCACAUUUGAGGGACUUCUAGUAACAACAGCUCUGUACUGGGGUAGAUCGUUCUCCCAGAUACCUCAGAGUUCCUGUGAAUAAAGGAAUAGAAAUCUG